GGAAUAUUGGACAAUGGGCGCAAGCCUGAUCCAGCCAUGCCGCGUGCAGGAUGACGGUCCUAUGGAUUGUAAACUGCUUUUGCACAGGAAGAAACAACGCUACGUGUAGCGUCUUGACGGUACUGUGAGAAUAAGGAUCGGCUAACUCCGUGCCAGCAGCCGCGGUAAUACGGAGGAUCCAAGCGUUAUCCGGAAUCAUUGGGUUUAAAGGGUCCGUAGGCGGUCUUAUAAGUCAGUGGUGAAAUCUCCCCGCUCAACGGGGAAACGGCCAUUGAUACUGUAGGACUUGAAUUAUUAGGAAGUAACUAGAAUAUGUAGUGUAGCGGUGAAAUGCUUAGAGAUUACAUGGAAUACCAAUUGCGAAGGCAGGUUACUACUAAUGGAUUGACGCUGAUGGACGAAAGCGUGGGUAGCGAACAGGAUUAGAUACCCCAG
RNAcentral lists this ribosomal RNA (435 nucleotides) under uncultured Flavobacterium sp. RNAcentral describes it as "bacterial SSU rRNA". It matches the Rfam family "Bacterial small subunit ribosomal RNA", at positions 358 to 790 of the family's 1533-position model. Lineage: Bacteria; Pseudomonadati; Bacteroidota; Flavobacteriia; Flavobacteriales; Flavobacteriaceae. The record is from RNAcentral.